Molecule: ribosomal RNA, 253 nt
Filed under: Gammaproteobacteria bacterium
Lineage: Bacteria; Pseudomonadati; Pseudomonadota; Gammaproteobacteria
Description: partial 23S ribosomal RNA
Rfam family: Bacterial large subunit ribosomal RNA
Source: RNAcentral
GAGUGGACGUACCUCUGGUGUUCCGGUUGUCACGCCAGUGGCACUGCCGGGUAGCUAAGUACGGAAGGGAUAACCGCUGAAAGCAUCUAAGCGGGAAGCCCACCUCAAGAUGAGAUCUCCCUGGGGCCUUGAGCCCCCUUAAGAGCCGUUGAAGACUACAACGUUGAUAGGCUGGGUGUGGAAGUGCAGUAAUGUAUGAAGCUAACCAGUACUAAUUGCUCGUGAGGCUUGACCAUAUAACACUCAAGCAGUU